AUGAUGAUCAUGGCGGAUUUGCGGCUUGCGGAAGCGCGACUGUGCAGAGGCGGGGAGCUGUUGCAAUUCGGUUGUGUCAGUGGGUGUCUCUUCCAUUGUUCUUCUUUUUCUACCUGCAAUCAAUGUAAAAAAAAACACAACAACAACAAUGAUCUAAUUCCUAUUUAUUUUCUUUCUGUUUUGGUUUUUUGA
Non-coding RNA from Vicia faba (fava bean), 192 nucleotides. NCBI's taxonomy places the organism in Eukaryota, Viridiplantae, Streptophyta, Magnoliopsida, Fabales, Fabaceae. The record is from the annotation of a GenBank genome assembly.